This 1003-nucleotide ribosomal RNA is filed under the name uncultured bacterium. RNAcentral's name for it is "bacterial SSU rRNA". It matches the Rfam family "Bacterial small subunit ribosomal RNA", at positions 78 to 1078 of the family's 1533-position model. The record is from RNAcentral.
GCUUGCACUUUGAUGACGAGUGGCGCACGGGUGCGUAACGCGUAUAGAACCUACCCUGUACAGGGGGAUAGCCCAGAGAAAUUUGGAUUAGUACCCCGUGGUAACUAUAAAUGGCACCAUUUAUAGUUUAAAGUUUUCGGACGGUACAGGAUGGCUAUGCGUCCUAUUAGUUAGAUGGUGAGGUAACGGCUCACCAUGGCAUCGAUAGGUAGGGGCCCUGAGAAGGGGAUCCCCCACACUGGUACUGAGACACGGACCAGACUCCUACGGGAGGCAGCAGUGAGGAAUAUUGGACAAUGGGCGUAAGCCUGAUCCAGCCAUGCCGCGUGCAGGAAGACGGCCCUAUGGGUUGUAAACUGCUUUUAUACGGGAAGAAUAAGGGACACGUGUGUCCUGGUGACGGUACCGUAAGAAUAAGGACCGGCUAACUCCGUGCCAGCAGCCGCGGUAAUACGGAGGGUCCGAGCGUUAUCCGGAAUUAUUGGGUUUAAAGGGUCCGCAGGCGGGCAAUUAAGUCAGGGGUGAAAUGGUGCGGCUCAACCGUAGCACUGCCCUUGAUACUGGUUGUCUUGAGUCAUAGUGAAGUGGCCGGAAUAUGUAGUGUAGCGGUGAAAUGCAUAGAUAUUACAUAGAACACCGAUUGCGAAGGCAGGUCACUAACUAUCGACUGACGCUGAUGGACGAAAGCGUGGGGAGCGAACGGGAUUAGAUACCCCGGUAGUCCACGCCGUAAACGAUGGAUACUAGCUGUCCGCUGCCUUGAGCAGUGGGCGGCCCAGCGAAAGUGAUAAGUAUCCCACCUGGGGAGUACGUUCGCAAGAAUGAAACUCAAAGGAAUUGACGGGGGCCCGCACAAGCGGUGGAGCAUGUGGUUUAUUUCGAUGAUACGCGAGGAACCUUACCAGGGCUUAAAUGCAUAAUGACAGGUCUAGAGAUAGACUUUUCUUCGGACAUUUUGCAAGGUGCUGCAUGGUUGUCGUCAGCUCGUGCCGUGAGGUGUCAG